GACGAACGCUGGCGGCGUGCUUAACACAUGCAAGUCGAACGGAAAGGCCCUGCUUUUGUGGGGUGCUCGAUUGGCGAACGGGUGAGUAACACGUGAGUAACCUGCCCUUGAUUUUGGGAUAACUUCAGGAAACUGGGGCUAAUACCGGAUAGGAGCUCCUGCUGCAUGGUGGGGGGUGGAAAGUUUCGGCGGUUGGGGAUGGACUCGCGGCUUAUCAGCUUGUUGGUGGGGUAGUGGCGUACCAAGGCUUUGACGGGUAGCCGGCCUGAGAGGGUGACCGGGCACAUUGGGACUGAGGGACGGACCAGACUGCUACGGGAGGCAGCAGUGGGGAAUAUUGCACAAUGGGCGGAAGCCUGAUGCAGCAACGCCGCGUGCGGGAUGACGGCCUUCGGGUUGUAAAAAGCUUUCGCCUGUGACGAAGCGUGAGUGACGGUAAUGGGUAAAGAAGCACCGGCUAACUACGUG
This 468-nucleotide ribosomal RNA is filed under the name uncultured bacterium. Its description in RNAcentral is "partial 16S ribosomal RNA". It matches the Rfam family "Bacterial small subunit ribosomal RNA", at positions 28 to 507 of the family's 1533-position model. The record is from RNAcentral.